This 1114-nucleotide ribosomal RNA is filed under the name Salmonella enterica. Its description in RNAcentral is "bacterial SSU rRNA". It matches the Rfam family "Bacterial small subunit ribosomal RNA", at positions 1 to 1104 of the family's 1533-position model. Lineage: Bacteria; Pseudomonadati; Pseudomonadota; Gammaproteobacteria; Enterobacterales; Enterobacteriaceae. The record is from RNAcentral.
AAAUUGAAGAGUUUGAUCAUGGCUCAGAUUGAACGCUGGCGGCAGGCCUAACACAUGCAAGUCGAACGGUAACAGGAAGCAGCUUGCUGCUUUGCUGACGAGUGGCGGACGGGUGAGUAAUGUCUGGGAAACUGCCUGAUGGAGGGGGAUAACUACUGGAAACGGUGGCUAAUACCGCAUAACGUCGCAAGACCAAAGAGGGGGACCUUCGGGCCUCUUGCCAUCAGAUGUGCCCAGAUGGGAUUAGCUAGUUGGUGAGGUAACGGCUCACCAAGGCGACGAUCCCUAGCUGGUCUGAGAGGAUGACCAGCCACACUGGAACUGAGACACGGUCCAGACUCCUACGGGAGGCAGCAGUGGGGAAUAUUGCACAAUGGGCGCAAGCCUGAUGCAGCCAUGCCGCGUGUAUGAAGAAGGCCUUCGGGUUGUAAAGUACUUUCAGCGGGGAGGAAGGUGUUGUGGUUAAUAACCGCAGCAAUUGACGUUACCCGCAGAAGAAGCACCGGCUAACUCCGUGCCAGCAGCCGCGGUAAUACGGAGGGUGCAAGCGUUAAUCGGAAUUACUGGGCGUAAAGCGCACGCAGGCGGUCUGUCAAGUCGGAUGUGAAAUCCCCGGGCUCAACCUGGGAACUGCAUUCGAAACUGGCAGGCUUGAGUCUUGUAGAGGGGGGUAGAAUUCCAGGUGUAGCGGUGAAAUGCGUAGAGAUCUGGAGGAAUACCGGUGGCGAAGGCGGCCCCCUGGACAAAGACUGACGCUCAGGUGCGAAAGCGUGGGGAGCAAACAGGAUUAGAUACCCUGGUAGUCCACGCCGUAAACGAUGUCUACUUGGAGGUUGUGCCCUUGAGGCGUGGCUUCCGGAGCUAACGCGUUAAGUAGACCGCCUGGGGAGUACGGCCGCAAGGUUAAAACUCAAAUGAAUUGACGGGGGCCCGCACAAGCGGUGGAGCAUGUGGUUUAAUUCGAUGCAACGCGAAGAACCUUACCUGGUCUUGACAUCCACAGAACUUUCCAGAGAUGGAUUGGUGCCUUCGGGAACUGUGAGACAGGUGCUGCAUGGCUGUCGUCAGCUCGUGUUGUGAAAUGUUGGGUUAAGUCCCGCAACGAGCGCAACCC